GCCAAACAGCUAGCUUAAUCACCAAUUUUAACCAAACAAUAUCUUUAAAAAGACAUGACCCACCCCUGAAAAUUAAACCAUUUUUUUACCUGAGUAUGGGAGACAGAAAAG
RNAcentral lists this ribosomal RNA (111 nucleotides) under Pseudogobio esocinus. Its description in RNAcentral is "partial 16S ribosomal RNA". Lineage: Eukaryota; Metazoa; Chordata; Actinopteri; Cypriniformes; Gobionidae. The record is from RNAcentral.